Molecule: non-coding RNA, 2804 nt
Organism: Leptonychotes weddellii (Weddell seal)
Lineage: Eukaryota; Metazoa; Chordata; Mammalia; Carnivora; Phocidae
Source: RefSeq, a predicted model, not a curated record
GAUUCACUAAAAGCCAGUUGUGCCAGCGAUGGCGCGUUGAAGAAGCCUGAAAGUACACAAACCCUCAUUAGCCUCUCCCGCCCACCCAGCUCAGCCUAGGUCGCCGAUGCUUUUGACGUAGCUUUGAAUGGGUUCUCCGGCCUCAGGUCCUUCAUCGCGAGAACUCACAGGAUUAGACGCGAAAGAAGCCGAAGUGCGCUUUCCGAUAAAUGACAGCCCACCGGUAGUCCCGGGCUUAACUCAGGUUUAAUGCGCAUCCCGGAUCCCAGUGCGCCUGCGCGCUUGUGACUCCGCCCCCGCCAUACCAGGGGUAGCGUUCUCCAUGCUGCCUUCACGCUUCACCCGCCAGCUGCUGUGGCCCUUCCUACGGGGAUCAGCUCCCGCCGUAGCGUGCCAUGUCCCUCGGGAGCCGCUUCUCGAGAGAUGUGCGGUCGCCUCCUCCUCCCAGCACCCAUCGGGCCUGGGACAUAGGGUUUCCCAUGGCUCAACGGCGACUGGGGGUUACGAAGGGAGGACUGACAUGGAGGAGCAUUUUCUGUUCCCCGAGUACAUCUCGGAGCCCGAGCCUGCACCGAUCCUCGAAAAGCAGCUGCGAGAGCUGCAGCAGCGGCAGGAGGAGGAGGAGCGACAGAAGCAGCAGCGGCGGGAAGAGCGGCAGCAGCAGAAGGUACGGGCCAGGAGCCGGCUACACCCGGUCGUGGGACACCCGGACCCGACGGUGCCGCCCAGCGGCCUGAACUGCUCGGGCUGCGGAGCGGAGCUGCACUGCCAGGACCCCGCCGUGCCCGGCUACCUGCCCCGCGAGAAGUUCCUCAGCGCAGCGGCGCAGACUGACGGCGGGCUGGCGCGAACGGUGUGCCAGCGCUGCUGGCUGCUGGUGCACUACCGGCGCGCCCUGCGCGUGCAGAUGAGCCGCGAGCAGUAUCUGGAGCUGGUGAGCGCCGCGCUACGUCGCCCGGGGCCCGCCCUGGUGCUCUACAUGGUGGACCUGCUCGAUCUGCCCGACGCCCUGCUGCCCGACCUGCCCGCGCUGGUGGGCCCCAGGCAACUCAUCGUGCUGGGGAACAAGGUGGACCUGCUGCCCCGGGACGCGCCCGGCUACCUGCAGCGGCUCCGGGAGCGACUGUGGGACGACUGUACCCGCGCAGGGCUCCCGCGGCCCUCUGGCCACCGGGGACCACAACACGCCGGUGAGGACCCGCAGCAAGACGGGAGGGAGAAUUCGAUUCCUUCCGCCAGGACCCGCACGGUGCUCAGGGAUGUACGGCUCAUUAGCGCCAAGACUGGCUAUGGGGUGGAAGAAUUGAUCACAGCGCUUCAGCGCUCCUGGCGUUACCGCGGCGACGUGUACCUGGUUGGCGCCACCAACGCUGGCAAGUCCACUCUCUUCAACACGCUCCUAGAAUCCGACUACUGCAUCGCCAAGGGCGCUGAGGCUAUCGACAGAGCCACCAUCUCCCCUUGGCCUGGUACUACAUUAAACCUUUUGAAGUUUCCUAUUUGCAACCCAACACCUUACAGGAUGUUUGAAAGACAAAAAAGGCUUAAAAAAACUGCAGCUGAAGCUGAAGAAGAUCUUAGUCUGCAAGAACAAAAUCAACUUAAUCUCUUGAAAAAGCAUGGUUAUGUAGUAGGAAGAGUUAGAAGAACAUUCUUGUAUUCAGAAGAACGGAAAGAUGAAGCUGCCUUUGAGUUUGAUGCUAAUGCACUUGCCUUUGACAUGGAAAAUGAACCUGUUAUGGUUGCAGAUAAAUCCACCAAACGAGUAGAAUUGACCCCGCAAGAUGUGAAAGAUGCCCACUGGUUUCAUGACACCCCUGGAAUUACAAAAGAAAAUUGUAUUUUAAACCUUCUAACAGAAAAAGAAGUAAAUAUUGUUUUGCCAACACAUUCCAUUGUUCCAAGAACUUUCGUGCUUAAACCAGGAAUGGUUCUGUUUUUGGGUGCCAUAGGCCGCCUAGAUUUUCUGCAGGGAAAUCAGUCAGCUUGGUUUACAGUUGUGGCUUCCAACCUCCUCCCUGUGCAUAUUACUUCCUCUGACAGGGCAGAUACUAUGUAUCAGAAGCAUGCAGGUCAUACAUUACUCAAGGUGAGGCAGCACACUUGGAAGAUCACACAGUUGGGUUAACCUACACUGUGACAGUCCCGCAGCCCUGCUAAGGAAGCCUUUGUUGGACAUACCAUUUUUGUUAUAUGAUCAGCUAGCUCUCUCCUCCCCUGUUCUGCUUGAGGAUUUGGGCUAUAAAGUAAAGUGGACCCUAUGAGAAAAGGGAUGUUGUUUGGACUGAUCCUAGAAUAGCUACAGACUUGUGUUUUCUCUAAACUACACUGGCCAAUACCGUAGCCACGAGUGGCUAUUUCAAUUUAAAUAAAAUCUAAAAUUUAGCUUUUCAGUUGCACUAGCUACUUUCCAACUGCCCAGCAGUCACAUCAUUGCAGAAAGUUGUAUUGGAUUAAUGCUGAGCGAAGAGAAGGCACACAUUUUCUCACAGCUGGGGGCGUUACUGGCAUCCAGUGGACAGAGGCCAGGGAUAAUGCUGAACAUCCUGCGGUGCACAAGACAGACCCUCACAACGAAGAAUUAUCUGGUCCAAAAUGUCCAUAAGGCCAAGGCUGAGAAGUCCUGGUCCGAGUGGAAAAGCUCUCCUCCCAGGUUCUAACUCCCAGACACUUAAGAUUAUCCUGGCUUUUUACUUCUGCUCUACUAGUUCCGUCCUUCCCCCUGUUCCAAUGGGUGGAGAAGAACGAAUGGCAGGAUUUCCUCCUCUUGUUGGUGAAGACAUUACAUUAAAAGAAGGACUUGG